CAAGUCAUCAUGGCCCUUACGAGUAGGGCUACACACGUGCUACAAUGGUGCAUACAGAGGGAGGCGAAGUAGCGAUACGGAGCGAAACUCAGAAAGUGCAUCGUAGUCCGGAUUGGAGUCUGCAACUCGACUCCAUGAAGUCGGAAUCGCUAGUAAUCGCGAAUCAGAAUGUCGCGGUGAAUACGUUCCCGGGCCUUGUACACACCGCCCGUCACACCAUGGGAGUGGGUUGUACCAGAAGUAGAUAGCUUAACCUUWRGGAGGGCGUUUACCACGGUAUGAUUCAUGACUGGGGUGAAGUCGUAACAAGGUAACCGUAGGGGAACCUGCGGUUGGAUCACCUCCUUAC
Molecule: ribosomal RNA, 349 nt
Filed under: Gallibacterium anatis
Lineage: Bacteria; Pseudomonadati; Pseudomonadota; Gammaproteobacteria; Pasteurellales; Pasteurellaceae
Description: bacterial SSU rRNA
Rfam family: Bacterial small subunit ribosomal RNA
Source: RNAcentral